This 253-nucleotide ribosomal RNA is filed under the name uncultured bacterium. Its description in RNAcentral is "partial 16S ribosomal RNA". It matches the Rfam family "Bacterial small subunit ribosomal RNA", at positions 524 to 776 of the family's 1533-position model. The record is from RNAcentral.
UACGGGGGGGGCAAGCGUUGUUCGGAAUUACUGGGCGUAAAGGGCUCGUAGGCGGCCAACUAAGUCAGACGUGAAAUCCCUCAGCUUAACUGGGGAACUGCGUCUGAGACUGGAUGGCUUGAGUGCAGGAGAGGAACGCGGAAUUCCAGGUGUAGCGGUGAAAUGCGUAGAUAUCUGGAGGAACACCGGUGGCGAAGGCGGCGUUCUGGACUGCAACUGACACUGAUGAACGAAAGCCAGGGGAGCAAACGGG